GAACGCUUGCGCCUAUAUGCUAAAACUGAAACCGUACGGAGAUGCUCAGCGUGGCCCCUGCACCAGGACAACACCCACAUUUGCAAAGGGUUCCACAUAAAG
This is a small nuclear RNA of Mirounga angustirostris (Northern elephant seal), 102 nucleotides long. The record is from RefSeq and is a predicted model, not a curated record. NCBI's taxonomy places the organism in Eukaryota, Metazoa, Chordata, Mammalia, Carnivora, Phocidae.